This is a small nuclear RNA of Trichosurus vulpecula (common brushtail), 162 nucleotides long. RefSeq annotates it as U1 spliceosomal RNA. The transcript has a single exon. The record is from RefSeq and is a predicted model, not a curated record. NCBI's taxonomy places the organism in Eukaryota, Metazoa, Chordata, Mammalia, Diprotodontia, Phalangeridae.
ACACUUGCCUGGCAGGGAUGGUUCCAUGAUCAUGAAGGUGGUUUCCCCAGGGUGGGCCUUAUCCAUUGCACUCCAGAUGGGCUGACCCCUGCAAAUUCCCCAAAUAUGGGAAACUCAACUGUGUAAUCUGUGGUAGUGGGAGACUGCAUCCACAUUCUUCCC